GACGAACGCUGGCGGCGUGCUUAACACAUGCAAGUCGAACGGAAAGGCCCUGCUUUUGUGGGGUGCUCGAGUGGCGAACGGGUGAGUAACACGUGAGUAACCUGCCCUUGACUUUGGGAUAACUUCAGGAAACUGGGGCUAAUACCGGAUAGGAGCUCCUGCUGCAUGGUGGGGGUUGGAAAGUUUCGGCGGUUGGGGAUGGACUCGCGGCUUAUCAGCUUGUUGGUGGGGUAGUGGCUUACCAAGGCUUUGACGGGUAGCCGGCCUGAGAGGGUGACCGGGCAGAAAGGGGAUGGGAAAAGGGCCCGGCUGCGGCGGGGGGGCGGAGUGGGGGAGGGUGGGGGAGGGGCGCAAGCGUGAGGGAGCAACGCCGCGUGGGGGAGGACGGGCUUUGGGGUAUGAAACGGGUUCGCCAGUGACAAGACAAGAAUGACGGUAAUGGGAAAAGAAGCGACGGCUAAAUACGUG
This 468-nucleotide ribosomal RNA is filed under the name uncultured bacterium. RNAcentral's name for it is "partial 16S ribosomal RNA". It matches the Rfam family "Bacterial small subunit ribosomal RNA", at positions 28 to 507 of the family's 1533-position model. The record is from RNAcentral.